RNAcentral lists this ribosomal RNA (490 nucleotides) under uncultured bacterium. Its description in RNAcentral is "partial 16S ribosomal RNA". It matches the Rfam family "Bacterial small subunit ribosomal RNA", at positions 30 to 507 of the family's 1533-position model. The record is from RNAcentral.
AUUGAACGCUGGCGGCAGGCCUAACACAUGCAAGUCGAACGGUAACAGGAAACAGCUUGCUGUUUCGCUGACGAGUGGCGGACGGGUGAGUAAUGUCUGGGAAACUGCCUGAUGGAGGGGGAUAACUACUGGAAACGGUAGCUAAUACCACAUAACGUCGCAAGACCAAAGAGGGGGACCCUCGGGCCUCUUGCCAUCGGAUGUGCCCAGAUGGGAUUAGCUUGUUGGUGGGGUAACGGCUCACCAAGGCGACGAUCCCUAGCUGGUCUGAGAGGAUGACCAGCCACACUGGAACUGAGACACGGUCCAGACUCCUACGGGAGGCAGCAGUGGGGAAUAUUGCACAAUGGGCGCAAGCCUGAUGCAGCCAUGCCGCGUGUAUGAAGAAGGCCUUCGGGUUGUAAAGUACUUUCAGCGGGGAGGAAGGGAGUAAAGUUAAUACCUUUGCUCAUUGACGUUACCCGCAGAAGAAGCACCGGCUAACUCCGUG